CACAAACUGAGGGGAGAACUCCUGAACCAGGUGAUGAUUUGUCCACAAUCACGGACCAGGAUACAAGCUCAGAUUCAGCAUCUGUACUAACUCCGCAAGCAGAGUGGAUGUGGAUAACUCCUGAACCAAGCGAUGAUUUGUCGACUAUCACGGACACAGAUUCAAGCCCAGAUCCAACAUCUCUACCAACUCCAAAAAGUGAGGGGACAACUCCUGAGCCAAGGGAUGAUUCGUCCACAAUUACGGACCAGGAUACAAGCUCAG
Mobula hypostoma (lesser devil ray) is the source of this 264-nucleotide long non-coding RNA. RefSeq lists it as uncharacterized. Lineage: Eukaryota; Metazoa; Chordata; Chondrichthyes; Myliobatiformes; Myliobatidae. The transcript is spliced from 3 exons. The record is from RefSeq and is a predicted model, not a curated record.